AGGGCUAUAGCUCAGCAGGAUAGAGCGACAGACACCUAAUCUGUAGGCUGCAGGUCCGAAUCCUGCUAGUCUCA
This 74-nucleotide transfer RNA is filed under the name Orenia marismortui. It matches the Rfam family "tRNA". From Rfam's summary of the family: Transfer RNA (tRNA) molecules are approximately 80 nucleotides in length. Their secondary structure includes four short double-helical elements and three loops (D, anti-codon, and T loops). Further hydrogen bonds mediate the characteristic L-shaped molecular structure. tRNAs have two regions of fundamental functional importance: the anti-codon, which is responsible for specific mRNA codon recognition, and the 3' end, to which the tRNAs corresponding amino acid is attached (by aminoacyl-tRNA synthetases). tRNAs cope with the degeneracy of the genetic code in two manners: having more than one tRNA (with a specific anti-codon) for a particular amino acid; and 'wobble' base-pairing, i.e. permitting non-standard base-pairing at the 3rd anti-codon position. Lineage: Bacteria; Bacillati; Bacillota; Clostridia; Halanaerobiales; Halobacteroidaceae. The record is from Rfam by way of RNAcentral.